UCCACCCUAGAAAUCAAGCUCUAGAUUCAAAAUUCAAAACCCCUCAUCUGAGUCUCUCUUUCUCCCUAAAAUAUCUGCGAGAACCCACCCUCCCGCUUAGGGAUAUUCCUAGAAAACCCUGGCUCAUUCGAAAGCUAGGUUAAAGCUGAAUCUAAUGGUUUCAAGGCUAAAGUUGCUUUAGUUCGUGAUAGAGAACUAGCCUAACAUCAUGUUAAUUGCUUCCUCCUUAACAUGCAAAAAAGUUACUGUUGUCGUUAUUUAAUUCCAUACUAAUGCUAGCUAAUUUCUGUUUUUUUAUUAAUUCCAUCUGUUGCAUCAGAUAUUUGAUCUUCUAUGCUUCUGGUUAAAAUUAGGGUUAUUAGUUUGUGGAUUUUGAAGUUACUAUUUGUGGUUUGAAGAGACCGAAAAACAGGAGCUAAAGCUCGAUUUGUGGUCGGAUCUCACAUAACCACCCCUAAUCUCAUCGUCGGUGUUACUCAAGUCUUCCGCUACAAGACGCGUCUUUUAAUUGCACACUUUCCGAUCCACGGCAACAUAACUAACAAUACCUGAGCGAUUGAGAUUCAUAACGUUCUUGACAAAUAAGAACCCAAAGAUGCGUCAGGUUUUUGCGUAGAUGCGUCAAAGAAGAGAUUGGGUUGAUAGGCAGGUUCUUGAUCUAGAAACUGUUGGCAAAGAUGGAGUUUUGGGGCAGUGAUAUAAAAGGAAGCAUUCAUAGCGAUCCUUCUGAUGCUUGGACAUAUAGAGCAAAAGUAUGCGUUAAGUUAUCGCCCGUGUUGAUCUUUUUACCAAGCAUAAUGUUGUAAAUCCUGCUGCAAUCAUUUCUGUGGGUUCUGCAAAUUAUGUUGCUGCUGGUAUGCGGUUUUGUUUUGUGUGGUGAUGGUGGCUGAGCUACAACAGAGGCAGCAGAGACUAAAGCAAGAACAUCAAAGACGCCGCCAGGAGAUGAUGUCUGCGCUCAGAUGCAUAGCGAGAUAUUUAGCUAUCCCUGGUUUCCUACAACAACAACAUUUGAGGGACGGUGAUUCAGAAUAUUAGGAUCCAGGCCUAAUCACAACACUUGUUUUGUAUCUGGUUGUAGUUUUUGAGUCACUUUUGUACAAACCAUGUUUAGGUUGAUGCUAUGCUUAGAAAUAAAUUGAUGAUACAGAUGCAAAGAUUGAUGAUCCUUAAUAGGUUGGUGUUUUUUUUUUGGUCAUUACCUAAUCACGCUGGAAGUUGCUCAGAUGAUUUCUUUAACUUUUCCUCUGUUUUAAAGAUAUCUAGAGCACUAAU
This is a long non-coding RNA of Helianthus annuus (common sunflower), 1275 nucleotides long. RefSeq lists it as uncharacterized. The transcript is spliced from 3 exons. The record is from RefSeq and is a predicted model, not a curated record. Lineage: Eukaryota; Viridiplantae; Streptophyta; Magnoliopsida; Asterales; Asteraceae.